CAAAUUAGUAAAUUUGAUUUUGUCUAUGGACUAAAGUCUGUAUGUCAAGAUCUUAAUUUGUAUUCCUGGAAUACCAAAAUUCUGAGUUACAUGGAUUAUUGUUUAUGUGCAUAAAUGCAAUUACAGAUCUAGGAAAUCUAGUCUACCUUUUAUAACAAGCUAUUAAAAUAAUUAAAUUAACAACAAAAAUGAUUAUUAAAAAACCUGUAUUGUUUUAUUAUCUUAAAAUUUGUAGAUUAUUUGCUUUCUACAUUUAAACAGUAACAUUUCUUUGAAAUUGUAAAUAGUAGCUAUUAGGCUUUCUUUCAUGUUUUGACAUAGUAAUUUCUAUAAAAAGCCAUAUUUGUAUCUAUUAUUAUUUUUAAUAUUUCUAUUUCUCAUAGUGCUUGGUACAGUUCUGGGCAAAGAAAAUGAUAUUUAAAACACACGUUUUGCUUUUUGGACUGACUGACAGCUAACUGUUGGGGCAAAUUUUUAAUUUCCUCAGAAAAAUAAGUAUUUCUCUUUUAUAAACCAGUCUAAAAUAAUAAGCUAAAAUAAAUCCAUAUUUUGCCAGGUAAAUAAUAUAUUAUUUAAAUAAAGUAAAAUUCAUAGAAUAUAGCAGUUUUUGAGGACAUAUCAAAAAAUGCUGAAUUAUUUUCCUAUUUUCUUUUUUAAAAAUUUUUUUCAUUUAGGUGUACUUGAUUUUCAUUGAGUUAAUUUCUUUUUUUUUUUUUUUUUUUUGUCUUUUUGCUAUUUCUUGGGCCACUCCCACGGCAUAUGGAAGUUCCCAGGCUAGGGGAUCAAGAUGGAGGAGAAGACGUCGCAUGCUUACCUUCUUCCACAAACACAUCAAAAAAACACAUCAACAUGUAAAACCACUCACACAAAACAUCUACUGAAUACUGGCAGAUGAACUUAUACCUCCAAAAGGGCAAGAAACUCUUGACAUAACUGGGUAGAACAAAAGAAAAAAAGAGAGAGAGAGAGAAAAGGAAUCAGGAUGAGAGUAGCAUUACUGAGAGGGAGCUGUGAAAGGGAAAAGGAACCCACAUCCUGGGAAGCCACCUUACCAACAGGGAGAUCAGCUGAGAUGGAGGGACCUCAAAGUCACCAAGAAAAGCUCAGCAGAUGGACCGAGGAGGGCAAAGUAGAGUGAGCACAGAUCAUCUGUACCACUGGCCCAGAUACCACAGCUUGAGAUGAUUGGGCAGGGGCUGGGCACUAAAACUUAGGCUCCAGAGGUCAGUUCCGGGGAGAGGACUAGGGUUGGCAGCGUGGGGACAGCCUGAAAGGGUAAGGAGCAAUGUGCCAUGGAGGGGGGAGCAGUGUGUUACAGGCUGGGGAGUAGAACACCAAGGAAUAGGGAACCAGGGAGGAGAUCUGGGCCCACAGGAGAAACAAGGCACCAUUGUUGGGAAGGGCAAGAGGAGGAGGGGUGGACUGCACUUCUUGUGCCAGCUCUGGGUGACCAGGCACCUCUUGUGAGGGCUAAGGGAAGUGGAAGGGCUAAGUAUGAUGUGGUGCUUCUUGCAUGAUUUAUAGGCAGCAGGGACAGAUAGUGGAGGGAGGUGUGGCCUACCACCACCAGGGGCCUGUGAGUGGCCUCCACCUGUGGCCCCAGUCACAUCAGGGGGUGGCCAAAAAAAAGAGUGCACUGCAACAGAAUACCACCCAUUGUUGCUCUCACUCCCCUAGGAACAUACCUGCCCUGCUGCUGCCACUGGCAAAUGCUCUAGGCAGUGCUCAGAUGCUUCAUCACUGUCCCUUCCCAAGACUCUGCAAUUAGGAGCAGCUGGUGCAGCACCUCCUAUGUGGGCUAAGUGGGACAGGGUGCUUCUUGCAUAGUCUACAGGUGGCAGGGGCAAAGCACCAUGGUAAUCUCUGACUCCAGAGGUUGGCGUGGCACGUCAUCACUAGGGGUCCAUGAUCAGGUACCACUUGCAAUACCAAUCACCUCAGAGGGCAUCUCAGAGGAGGGCAUUGUGACCGAACACUACCUGUUGAUGCUCUCAAACCACUGGGAACUCACCCACCCUGCUGCUACCACUGCCAAACACCCCAGACAGUGCCCACAUGCUUGAUCACUGUCACUUUUCAAGAUCUUGCUACUAGGAGCAGCUGGUUCAGCACUUGCUGCACGGACUAAGCAGGACAGGAUGCUUCUUGCAUGGUCUGCAGGUGAUGGGAGCAAACCACUGCAGUUAUCUCUGACUCCAGAGGUGGGCGUGGUCCACCACCAGUAGGGGUCCGUGAACAAGCAGCACUUGCGGCCCUAAACACCUCAAGAGCAUGACAAAGGAGGACACUGCAACCAAACACUACCUGUUGUUGCUUUUGCAUCUCUGGGAGCAUACCAGCUCUGGGCAGCACCCAGAUGCUUGAUCACUGUCACUUCCUAGGACCCUGCAAUUAGGAGCAGCCUAUGCAGCACUUCCCUUGUGUGCUAAGUGGGACGGGGUGCUUCUUGCAUGGUUUGCAGGUGGCAGGGGCAGAACACUGCAGUUAUUACUGAUUCCAGAGGUGGGCCACCACUACUAGGGGUCCCAGAACAAGCACCACUUAUGACCCCAAUCACCUCAAAGGAGGGCACUGCAAUUGACAUUACCUGUUCUUGCUCUCACUCCCUUGGGAACUCACAUACACUGCUGCUGCCACUGCCAAAUGCUCUGGACACCUCACAAAUCUGCCUAAGGCUCAUUACCACUUCUUAGGGCCCUGAAAGGAGGAGUAGGCUGCACCACCUUACUGCAAGUCCUAGCUGCUGUUAAAAGCCCAGCAACCAGGCACUGACUACUAGCCCUAACCAUUGCCUAUUUCUUCCUGGAAACACACUCACCACCCUAGGGAUAACAGCCUGCUCACACUGAAGAAAGAGACAGCAAACAUCCAAACUCCCAUGCCAAAAAUAAAUAGUAACCUCCCACAAAAUAAAAAGGACUGUUCUUGCAUAGAAGUAGCCCUCUAAGACUACAGUUUGCCUUCCCUAAAAUCACAGAAAAAGAAAAAUAUAAGCAAGAGGAAGAUCAGAAACCAUUCCCAGUCAAAGGAACAGGAGAGUCUACCUGAAGCAGCAAACAAUGAAACAGACCUUUGCAGUCUGAGAGACAUUGAGUUCAAAGGGAGAUAGUGAAAAUACUGAAGGAAUUAAGGCUGAAUAUCAAGCAAUUAAGAGUGGAUAUGAAGAUUAAUAUAGAUUCCUUUAGAAAGGGACUAUAAAAUAUAAGGAGAAACAUAGAAAAAUCACAAAAAUUCACUUGCAGAGAUGCAAACUGAGUUAAAGAGACUAAAGAGGAGAAUGAAUAACAUGGAGGAAUGAAUUAGUGACUUGGAAAAUAGAAUAAUGCAAAUCUCCCAAUCAGGACAGCACACAGAAAACCAAAUGAAAAAACACAAAAGUAAUAUAAGAGAUCUAUGGGAUAAUAUAAAGCAAGCCAAUCUACACAUAAUAGGAAUUCCAGAAGGAGAAGAAAAAGAAAAGGGGGUUGAAAAUAUAUUUGAAGAAAUUAUGUCUGAAAACUUUGCAAAUUUAAAGGAAACUGACAUCAAGAUAUAGGAGCACAGAGGGCCACAAACAAGUUGAACCCAAAUAGGCCCACACCAAGACAUACUAUAAUAAAAGUGGCAAAAGUUACAGAUAAAUAGAGGAUUCUGAAGGCAACAAGUGAAAACGAAAGUGUUAAUUCUAUGGGAAUCCCAAUAAGGCUAUCAGCUGAUUUCUCUACAGAAACACUACAGGCCAGAAGAGAACGGCAAGAUAUAUUAGAAGAUCUGAAAGGAAAAAAUUUGCAGCCUAUAAUACUUUACCCAGCAAGAAUAUCAUUUAAAAUGGAAGGGAAGGGAGUUCCUGUCGUGGCUCAAUGGUUAACGAAUCUGACUAGAAACCAUGAGGUUGCGGGUUCGAUCCCUGGUCUUGCUCAGUGGGUUAAUGAUCCAGCAUUGCCGUGAGCUGUGGUGUAGGUUGCAGACAUGGCUCGGAUCCCACGCUGCUGUGGCUGUGGUGUCGGCAGCUACAGCUCUGAUUAGACCCCCUAGCCUGGGAACCCCCAUAUGCCACGGGAGUGGCCCUAGAAAAGGCAAAAAGACAAAAAAAAAAAAAAA
Molecule: long non-coding RNA, 4080 nt
Filed under: Sus scrofa (pig)
Lineage: Eukaryota; Metazoa; Chordata; Mammalia; Artiodactyla; Suidae
Description: lncRNA (ENSSSCG00035080934.1)
Source: RNAcentral